This 345-nucleotide unclassified non-coding RNA is filed under the name soil metagenome. Its description in RNAcentral is "partial contains 5.8S ribosomal RNA, internal transcribed spacer 2, and large subunit ribosomal RNA". The stretch from base 1 to 119 matches the Rfam family "5.8S ribosomal RNA", at positions 35 to 154 of the family's 154-position model. The record is from RNAcentral.
GAUGAAGAACGUAGCGAAAUGCGAUACGUAAUGUGAAUUGCAAAUUCAGUGAAUCAUCGAGUCUUUGAACGCACAUUGCGCCCCCUGGUAUUCCGGGGGGCAUGCCUGUCCGAGCGUCAUUGCUGCCCUCAAGCACGGCUUGUGUGUUGGGCCCCGUCCUCCGAUCCCGGGGGACGGGCCCGAAAGGCAGCGGCGGCACCGCGUCCGGUCCUCGAGCGUAUGGGGCUUUGUCACCCGCUCUGUAGGCCCGGCCGGCGCUUGCCGAUCAACCCAAAUUUUUUAUCCAGGUUGACCUCGGAUCAGGUAGGGAUACCCGCUGAACUUAAGCAUACAAUAAGCGGAGGA